Molecule: long non-coding RNA, 435 nt
Filed under: Elaeis guineensis (African oil palm)
Lineage: Eukaryota; Viridiplantae; Streptophyta; Magnoliopsida; Arecales; Arecaceae
Description: long non-coding RNA (EGUI_LNC063021)
Source: RNAcentral
CACAGUAGCGGACUGGCCACCCACUUGAACUCUGCUUUGCUGCUCUACCAGAGGGGUUUGGGGGAUGGAACAAGUAACCAUCAUGCACCUAGGUAGCAGACAUUUUUCUUUAUGUUUGCGUUGCCAUCAAGUAGGAUUUAAGUUUGAAUGGUCAUGUAAUGGGAUUGAUAUUAGGAACUUGGGCCUCCAGGCUCUAAACUAGUUUACAUGGAGAAUUUUUUUUUAUGCAUAAGUAGUUUCUUAUUGAAACAACUAUUAAAACUAAGAUUUUUUUUUUUUUUUAACAUAGGGUUCAUGGGUGAUUGGUGAUGAUGUUGUAUAAAUCUAUUAUUUAUUUGAAUAAAUAGUUUUUUUCAUAAACUAUCUGCCAUUCUUUUUAUAUUUUUAUGAUCGAUAUUUCUUUAUAUAUAUAAAUAGAGAGAGAGAAAGAAAGAG